UCUCCGUUGGUGAACCAGCGGAGGGAUCAUUACUGAGUGAGGGUCUCCGGGCCCGACCUCCAACCCUUUUGUGAACCACCUCGUUGCUUCGGGGGCGACCCUGCCGUCCGCGGCUGAGCGCCCCCGGAGGCCUUCAACCACUGCAUCUUUGCGUCGGAGUUUAAGUAAAUUAAACAAAACUUUCAACAACGGAUCUCUUGGUUCUGGCAUCGAUGAAGAACGCAGC
RNAcentral lists this unclassified non-coding RNA (226 nucleotides) under uncultured fungus. RNAcentral's name for it is "sequence contains ITS1, 5.8S rRNA gene". The stretch from base 178 to 226 matches the Rfam family "5.8S ribosomal RNA", at positions 1 to 49 of the family's 154-position model. The record is from RNAcentral. Lineage: Eukaryota; Fungi.